UCCACCCUCCCCUCCCCUCCCUCGUGCUAGAAACCCCUCCUCCCCUAUGCAGGCCAUGGCGGCGCCGGCGGCCAGAUGACUCCCUCCUCCCCUCCCCUCCCCUCCACUCCCCUCCCAUCACCAGGAGAGGAGAGGAGAGGAGAGGAGAUGAGAGGAGAGGAGAGGGAGAUCCUACACGCAGGCCAUGGCGGUGGCGAGAUCCGCUCGGGGACAGGAGGUCACAGUGGUAGUGGUUCGGCGGCGGCUGGGGAGGAGGCUGUGGCGGCGGUGGGAGCAGCAGCGGCGGGUGGUGGGAGCAGCGACGACGGGUGGUGGGGUCCGGCCGCAGGGUCAAGCGAUCCAUGGAGUAUGUUCUAAUGUGCCAACUCAAGGAGCUCCUGGUCAGAAAGGUUGUCAUAUCUAGGGUGGACAAAUCACUAACAUUUGAUUUGGCAUUCAUCUCCCAGCACUUGAAGACCGUAUGCCUUAUAUCGGUUAUGCUAGAACACUCUGCUCUGAAUUUCUCAGGCUGCCCGGUAUUAUAGGUUUGGACAUUGCAGCGUUGCAGAAUUUGUGCACACAGGAUGUCAUCCAAGUCACUGAAGCAUCUCUGGAUCACCCAUUUAUGUUUCUUCUCUAUGGAGUUCCAUGUCCGGAUUUAUGCUCCGAACCUUAUCUCACUGCAACUUGAUAGUUUUAUUGGUUUCUCCCCAUCCCUUGAAAGCAUGCCAUUUCUAAUAACAGCCUACGUUGAGCUUGGUGAUCUAUGCAAGGAUAUCCUUUACUGCAACGACAACUCAAAGCGUUGUGGGUUUUCUUAUUGCAAAUGUAAUGCUUAUCCUGUUGGUGAGGGUGUGCUCCUCUAUGGUUUGUCCAAGGCUGCCAAUUUGGAGUUGAUAGCUCAUCCUAGAAUGUUUAUCUACAGAUGGGAUUUAAAAUGUUGCCCCAUGUUUGACAAACUAAAGACCCUCUUACUCAAUGAGUGAUUUACGACUAGUAACCUAGUGUGCAUUCUCCAACACUCUCCAAUUCUUGAGGUACUCACUCUUCAGCUUGAGAACACUAAGAAACUUGUUAGCACAACAGGAGCGCAAGAAACAUUUGAACAAUUAUUUGUGUGUGCGCACCUUAAGGUUGUCAACAUUGAAUGUAGUGAAGUUGAUGAGGGAAUUCGCAAAAUUUUGAAAAUCUUGACUACAUAUGGAAUUCUUCGUGAUCAAAUUAGUGUCAAUGACCGAUGUUUCCCCACUUGGACACAAAUUUGCUUAAGAUCACGGAAGCUUGGGUUGAUGGAGUG
Molecule: long non-coding RNA, 1276 nt
Organism: Triticum dicoccoides
Lineage: Eukaryota; Viridiplantae; Streptophyta; Magnoliopsida; Poales; Poaceae
Exons: 4
Source: RefSeq, a predicted model, not a curated record